Molecule: non-coding RNA, 136 nt
Organism: Brachypodium distachyon (stiff brome)
Lineage: Eukaryota; Viridiplantae; Streptophyta; Magnoliopsida; Poales; Poaceae
Source: Rfam
GUAGUACUCCCUCCGUCCAAAAAAGGAUGUCUCAACUUUGAUCAAAUUUGAAUACAUCUAUACACUAAGUCAUGUCUAGAUACAUCCAAAUUUUAACAAACUUGAGACAUUUUUUAUCGGACGGAGGGGGUAUAUU